This 80-nucleotide small nuclear RNA is filed under the name Echinops telfairi (small Madagascar hedgehog). RNAcentral's name for it is "U4 spliceosomal RNA (ENSETEG00000024700.1)". It matches the Rfam family "U4 spliceosomal RNA", at positions 1 to 80 of the family's 138-position model. Rfam says of the family: U4 small nuclear RNA (U4 snRNA) is a component of the major U2-dependent spliceosome. The structure of U4 snRNA from yeast and human has been reported. U4 snRNA presents a k-turn RNA motif in the 5p-SL related to recognition of Snu13 protein. The record is from RNAcentral. Lineage: Eukaryota; Metazoa; Chordata; Mammalia; Afrosoricida; Tenrecidae.
AGCUUUGCACAGUGGCAACAUCGUAGCCAAUGAGGUUUAUCCGAGGCGUGAUUAUUGCUAAUUGAAAAAAAAAAGAAAGA